ACUGGACACAGUGGUGAGCACCUGUAAUCUCAGCUACUUGGGAGGCUGAGACGUAAGAAUCGCUUGAGCCUGGGAGGUGGAGGUUGCAGUGAGCUGAGAUCGCGCCACUGCACUCCAGCUUGGGCAAUAGAGCGAGGCUGUCUCAAANNNNNNNNNNUUUGAGACAGCCUCGCUCUAUUGCCCAAGCUGGAGUGCAGUGGCGCGAUCUCAGCUCACUGCAACCUCCACCUCCCAGGCUCAAGCGAUUCUUACGUCUCAG
This 259-nucleotide signal recognition particle RNA is filed under the name Chlorocebus sabaeus (green monkey). Its description in RNAcentral is "Metazoan signal recognition particle RNA". It matches the Rfam family "Metazoan signal recognition particle RNA". From Rfam's summary of the family: The signal recognition particle (SRP) is a universally conserved ribonucleoprotein. It is involved in the co-translational targeting of proteins to membranes. The record is from Rfam by way of RNAcentral. Lineage: Eukaryota; Metazoa; Chordata; Mammalia; Primates; Cercopithecidae.